UUCAAAUGUUAUCCACAAAUAGCAUCAAGAUGAACACAUACUGCACAACAGUGACGAUUAAGUUAAAAAUCAUACAUAUAUACUCACAUAGGUUCACAAACACAACAAUAAGCAUAGUAUGACCAUCCAAAACACACAAGUGACAUAAGGACCACUAUUUGCUGGUCUGGAAGAGUUUACAGACAAGUUACAUCCAUGAGCACAAAGUUUCUAAUCCAAAAGACUUGAAGCACCAAAUGGUCCAAAACACACAUAAGAUUCAUGAUACAAUGGAAGUAGGCUGAUCCAAAAUACGACAAACAGCCAAAUGUUGCAUGACACUCCAAGUCCUCACAUCCAAGCGCUAGGUGGCUACGUACCUGAAAAUAUUCCAUACAAAUUUGUCAAGAAAGUGCAAUCAACCCAGAAGUCGUUCAAAACUCAUAUGAAGAUUGGCGGGCUAGAGAGGCACAUGCUAAGUCGUACUUGAUUGUUUAUGUGAAUACUCACAGAAACAGAAAGAUACAACUAGGAACUAGUCCCCGAUGGCAUUGAAUUAAUGUGCUGAUUGUUGUGUAUAUUAAUGUUUCGUUUGCAUGCUUAUUUCAUUGGAAGUUGCAGACUGGAAGUAAAUGAACUAUGAUAGUUUAAGAUAAAAAAAGUACACAUAUACAUGUACAUUAGCAAGACUGGUAACUUGCUUGUAAACUGAACCAAUGGAACUAAAGGAUUUGGUCCUGAACACAAGUAGCAUGCCAAGCCAUUGAGAAGUUAAUGAAUUCAUCCGGUGCACAUAUACACAAGUUUUAGCACAGACUAUUUACUUAAUAGCAGGACAUCAAAAAUCACUUAAAUGCAUCAAUGGAGAAACCUAGCAGACCAGAGGAUGGGAGAACACUGAAGCCAACUAAUAUGAGGCAAGCCAUGCCACUUACAUUCGACUGGAUUAGAAUCAGACCGAUGUUGUCCCAGUAAAUUAUGAGAACAUAAAUUAAAAUACAACUUUUGCAGUGUAGUUUCAGAAAUAAAACACAUAUACACAAGUUUGUCAAGUAUGUGUCGAAGUUCAAAAACAGUAAACUUCAUGUAUGCAGUAUGUUGUAGUACCUCUAUGCACUGGCGGAGGCUCAUGGAGGACAAACAGGGGUGUGACGCCACCUUCUCUGUCAUCCAUUUAUCAUGUCGUUCUGCGCCCCACUAAGCAUUGGCCGACGGCUUGCUGCUGCAUCUGCACGCCACGAAUGUUAAUGCCUGUCGUAUUGUGCACCACCGAUAAUCACCAGCGGCUUGUUGUUGCAUCUGCAUGCCAGCACUGCUACUGCCCUUCUCGUCAUCUCAUGUUCCUGCCAUAUUGUGCGCCACCGAUCAUCACCAGCGGCUUGCUGCUGCAUCUGCACGCCAGCACUGAUGCUGCCCUUCUCGUCAUCUAAUGCUCCUGCCGUAUUGUGCGCCACCGAUCAUCACCGGCGGCUUGCUGCUGCAUCUGCGUGCCAUGUAAAAAGAUGUGAUCCGUGUGAGCUUAAUUCAAAUGUUACGACUCGGUCAGCCAAGCUAUUAUUGUAUCAAUUAAAGAAACUUGAUUCAGAUUAGAAGUACCUAAGCCGCACCUUCCUUAAGCCGCACCUGUUUUCAAUUUAUCACACAUAUUUUUCUUUAAGUUUGAAUUUGGCGCCACUUGGUUGCUUGUCACGCUCCACCACUGCCGCUAUGACUGCUCCAGGGAAGUGAACAUAUUUUUGAAUUGGAUGUCAAACCAAGAAGACCAAGCAUAGAAUCUUGACUACAAACAAAGUAAGGCAAGAAAUGUCAGCACCUAAUGCUCCAGCCAAACUUGACUCACAAAUAAGUUCUAAUUUCAGAUAGACUAGAGAGCUAUGUGUGCGGUGUUUUCUUCGUCCACACCAUUUGGUUUACUCUAAUACUAGACCACGAAGGCACACGUUGUCGCACUCGUCCAUCUUGAUACAAGGUAUAAUAAAUAUUAGCAAAAGCUUGAGUGGACAAACAUUUUGCAAUUUGUAUUGUUCUAAUUACUGUACCCUCGUAUUGUUCGAAUUACUCGAAUUAUAGUGCAACAAUGUUGGUAGUUAAUUGGGCAAAAUAUUCACACUAUAGCUAGUCCGCGUUGGUCCAUGCACCCGGAAGGACAAAGAGCUUGGUGUUCAAGUUGUGGGAGUUGUGCAGAAUGUGGACUGAUUGCAGACACAUGUCAAGGUUGUUCUGUAGAUCCCACCCAUACUAUCAGAUCAGCUAAAACAAAGCCGCCCAAUUUCAGUCGAGGGAGUUAAAAGUAGGAACAUAAACCAUAGCAGUAGUAUAAGGGGCUCAUGGAGAGUAAGAAGAACCAGUGCCUAUUAAGUUCCAAGUGGACUCGCCGUGCAUUGACUGAAAAUAGCUCAUGUGCCAAGAUAGUAAGCUAAUACAUAUUUAUAUUGUUUGUGAUAAAUCGAACCUUCAUUUCUCGGGCCUAGUUUAAGAUAAUUCGAUGAUCUGAACGUAUUAGUAUUCCCACUAAAACAUCUCAUGAGAAAAAAAAGUGGAAAUCAGAAAGCACCAGCACUGCAAGAUGAUGGAUUAGUUGAACUCGUCAACAAAAAGGAAACUCCCGAGAAGCAUCAGGAUGGCAAAAUGAUGGGUCCAUCCAUUCCAUUUGCUGACUUACCACGGCAUAUCCUCAAAUGGCUUGGAUAAGAUCAGUGAGGGCCCACCGGUGCCAGCGGCAUGCCUCUAGGACAAGCUGAAAAUAAAACAACAAAACUUAUCAUCAUAUUAUUGUAUGCCAGUGAUGAAACUUGCAUGGAUCCACAUACUGAAUCUAAAGGUUUAUAACGUUAUGUUUUUGUUCUGCUAUUCAGAUUGGCCAAACACAUGGGAACGACCAUAGUUAAUUAUGUCAACACAUGGGAACGACCUGGUCAAGAGGGAAUUGUCAUUUUAGCAUGUGGAGAACGAUUAAUUAUGCCAACACGACCAUAGUUAAACACUUAACAACACUGGACAGCCUUUAGAACAAAAAAACUGGACAAGAAUGAUCUACACUUCAGUUAACAAAUGGUUUUGUUUCUUUGUUCCCAGUUCAAAUAAAAUUACCUACAAAUAUGUUGUUUGCCAGGAACAAGCAGCUCUAGAGUCCGAAAAUAAAAACUGAUCACAAUUUACACCGUCUUACUACAAAUAUCAUUCCUUAACUGAAGCAUAACAAACUAAUUCAAAGAGAGUUUUGAUCUAGAUUUUCACAGGGAAGUAAGAAACAUAGUUAACGAUAAAUAAUAAUCAUUUUCACAUAGAACUCAUAAACAUUUUCACAGAGAAAUAAAUGCAUUAAUAGUCUACAAUGAUAACAAUAGUACAGCAGCACUAGAGUCACACCAGAUCCAUAAUAGAGUACCUGAAAAUUUUCAGAUCCAUAGCAUUUUUAGAGAAAUAAAGCAUCACAUAACAGACUAGAGCUUGUCAGACCAAACUAAUAGAUACAACCAACUAGGUAGGCAUAUGAGAAUGGGAGAAGAUAAUUUUCCUGGGACGCAACAUAGCACAAAUUGAUGUUGGUGACAACAGACGAAGUUUGCAGAAACCUUUCAUGAGACAUCGCGCCAUUGGUGGCAGCAUCGCCGAGCUUGUUGGAGACGAGAUUUUUUCCUGAGAGGAGGAAGAGGAGGGCGCUGACUUGGUCCUUCGUGAGGGCUAGUGGUGGUUUGUGAAGCUCCCGGCGGACGGAGCUGUCCUUGGCCACGGCACUGGGGAAGGCAUGAGUGGAUGGGGUUAGGGGAUCUGGGAUAUGCUCACCGCCGUCGGUGGAAACUCGGGCCAGCGAAGAUGCCCAUGUUGUGGCAGCGAAGGGGCCGGGAAAGGCAGGCGAUGGAGGGGGACGGGAAAUCAAGGCUAUGGGCGCCGGUGGCGGCAGGGACGGGUCCGGAGUCUGGACGGAGACCCCGAGGACGGCGGCGGCAGCGGAAAUUGUGGGCAGGGGCGGGGGCGGGUAGGGUUCACGCGAGUGGAUGUGAGGCUACGGGAUU
RNAcentral lists this long non-coding RNA (3995 nucleotides) under Triticum aestivum (bread wheat). RNAcentral's name for it is "long non-coding RNA (TAES_LNC001069)". The record is from RNAcentral. Lineage: Eukaryota; Viridiplantae; Streptophyta; Magnoliopsida; Poales; Poaceae.